Molecule: unclassified non-coding RNA, 314 nt
Filed under: uncultured Actinomycetes bacterium
Lineage: Bacteria; Bacillati; Actinomycetota; Actinomycetes
Description: uncultured actinobacterium contains 16S-23S intergenic spacer region
Source: RNAcentral
UCCGAGUUGACCCCGGCAGUCUCCUGCGAGUCCCCGCCAUUACGCGCUGGCAACACAGGACAAGGGUUGCGCUCGUUGCGGGACUUAACCCCACAUCUCUGCAGGAUUUCCCGGCAUGUCAAACCCAGGUAAGGUUCUUCGCGUCGCUUCGAAUUAAGCAACAUGCUCCGCCGCUUGUGCGGGCCCCCGUCAAUUCCUUUGAGUUUUAGCCUUGCGGCCGUACUCCCCAGGCGGGGCGCUUAAUGCGUUAGCUACGGCACGGAAAACAAUGAAGCUCCCCACACCUAGCGCCCAACGUUUACGGCGUGGACUAC